UUGGAGGGCAAGUCUGGUGCCAGCAGCCGCGGUAAUUCCAGCUCCAAUAGCGUAUAUUAAAGUUGUUGCAGUUAAAAAGCUCGUAGUUGAGUUUCGGGAUCAAUAUUUCGGUCAUGCCGUUGGUAUGCACUGUUAUCAUUGAUUUCUCACCUUCUAAAGAACCGUAAUGCCAUUAAUUUGGUGUUACGGGGAAUUAGGACUGUUACCUUGAAAAAAUUAGAGUGUUUAAAGCAGGCUCACGCUUGAAUACAUUAGCAUGGAAUAAUGAAAUAGGACAUCCGAUUCUAUUUUGUUGGUUUCUAGGAUCGAUGUAAUGAUUAAUAGGGAUAGUUGGGGGCAUUAGUAUUCAAUUGUCAGAGGUGAAAUUCUUGGAUUUAUUGAAGACUAACUACUGCGAAAGCAUUUGCCAAGGAUGUUCUCAUUAAUCAAGAACGAAAGUUAGGGGAUCGAAGACGAUCAGAUACCGUCGUAGUCUUAACCAUAAACUAUGCCGACUAGGGAUCGGAUGAUGUUAAUUUUUUAAUGACUCAUUCGGCGCCUUACGGGAAAC
Molecule: ribosomal RNA, 550 nt
Filed under: Glomus sp. IMA1/3-9
Lineage: Eukaryota; Fungi; Glomeromycota; Glomeromycetes; Glomerales; Glomeraceae
Description: SSU rRNA
Rfam family: Eukaryotic small subunit ribosomal RNA
Source: RNAcentral